AGUAAUACAUCGGAACGUGUCUUCUAGUGGGGGAUAACUGCCCGAAAGGGCAGCUAAUACCGCAUGAGGCCUGAGGGUGAAAGCGGGGGAUCGCAAGACCUCGCGCUGGAAGAGCGGCCGAUGUCCGAUUAGCUAGUUGGUGAGGUAAAGGCUCACCAAGGCGACGAUCGGUAGCUGGUCUGAGAGGACGACCAGCCACACUGGGACUGAGACACGGCCCAG
This 222-nucleotide ribosomal RNA is filed under the name uncultured bacterium. RNAcentral describes it as "partial 16S ribosomal RNA". It matches the Rfam family "Bacterial small subunit ribosomal RNA", at positions 109 to 334 of the family's 1533-position model. The record is from RNAcentral.